Molecule: ribosomal RNA, 499 nt
Filed under: uncultured soil bacterium
Lineage: Bacteria
Description: bacterial SSU rRNA
Rfam family: Bacterial small subunit ribosomal RNA
Source: RNAcentral
AGUGGCGCACGGGUGAGUAACGCGUGGAUAAUCUGCCUGGAAACGGGAUAACAUCUCGAAAGGGGUGCUAAUACCGGAUAAGCUCACCUUCGGAAAAGGUGCGUUUCAGGAUGAGUUCACGUCCUAUUAGCUAGUUGGCAGGUUAAAGGCCUACCAAGGCAACGAUGGGUAGCUGGUCUGAGAGGAUGAUCAGCCACACUGGAAUUGAGACACGGUCCAGACUCCUACGGGAGGCAGCAGUGGGGAAUUUUGCGCAAUGGGGGAAACCUUGACGCAGCGACGCCGUGUGAGUGACGAAGGCCUUCGGGUCGUAAAGCUCUGUCAGAGGGGAAGAAUGACGGUACCCUCAAAGGAAGCACCGGCUGACUCCGUGCCAGCAGCCGCGGUAAUACGGAGGGUGCGAGCGUUGUUCGGAAUUAUUGGGCGUAAAGCGCGUGCAGGCGGCUUGUCAGGUCCGAUGUGAAAGCCCCGGGCUCAACCCGGGAAGCGCAUUGGAAAC